Molecule: ribosomal RNA, 433 nt
Filed under: uncultured bacterium
Lineage: Bacteria
Description: partial 16S ribosomal RNA
Rfam family: Bacterial small subunit ribosomal RNA
Source: RNAcentral
AGCGAACGCUGGCGGCAGGCCUAACACAUGCAAGUCGAACGAACUCUUCGGAGUUAGUGGCGGUUGGGGGAGGCACACGUCGGAACGUGCCUUUUGAUACGGAAUAACUCUGUGAAACUUGUGCUAAUACCGAAUGUGUCCUUCGGGUGCAAGAUUUAUCGUCAUUGGAGCGGCCCGUGUCUGUUUAGCCUGUGGGUGAGGUAAGGGCCCACCAAGGCGACGCUCAGUAGCGGGUCUGAGAGGAUGACCAGCGACACUGGGGCUGGGACACGGCCCAGAAUCCUACGGGAGGCGGGAGUGGGGGAUCUUGCGCUAUCGGCUGAAUCCUGACGGCGCCCUGCCGCGUGAAUGAUGAAGGUCUGAGGAUUGUACAAUUCUUUAACCGGGGACGAUAAUGACGGUACCCGGAGAAGAAGCCCCGGCUAACUUCGUG